GCAGGGAUGGCAGAGCGGUUAAAUGCACCGGUUUCGAAAACCGGAGUCUGAAAAGACGCGGGAGUUCGAAUCUCUCUCCCUGCG
RNAcentral lists this transfer RNA (84 nucleotides) under Candidatus Diapherotrites archaeon CG_4_10_14_0_2_um_filter_31_5. RNAcentral's name for it is "tRNA-Ser". It matches the Rfam family "tRNA". Rfam says of the family: Transfer RNA (tRNA) molecules are approximately 80 nucleotides in length. RNAcentral also lists the same sequence under 1 other name. The record is from RNAcentral. Lineage: Archaea; Nanobdellati; Candidatus Iainarchaeota.